RNAcentral lists this ribosomal RNA (424 nucleotides) under uncultured prokaryote. RNAcentral describes it as "bacterial SSU rRNA". It matches the Rfam family "Bacterial small subunit ribosomal RNA", at positions 355 to 774 of the family's 1533-position model. The record is from RNAcentral.
UCGAGAAUCUUCGGCAAUGGGGGCAACCCUGACCGAGCGACGCCGCGUGCGAGAUGAAGGCCUUCGGGUUGUAAAUCGCUGUCAGAGGGGAGGAAAUGCUAGGGGGUACUCCUCCUAGUUUGACCUAGCCUCAGAGGAAGGACGGGCUAAGUUCGUGCCAGCAGCCGCGGUAAGACGAACCGUCCAAACGUUAUUCGGAAUCACUGGGCUUAAAGGGUGCGUAGGCGGUCCGGAAAGUUGGGUGUGAAAGCCCUCGGCUCAACCGAGGAAUUGCGUCCAAAACUGCCGGGCUUGAGGGAGACAUAGGUGAGCGGAACCUAGGGUGGAGCGGUGAAAUGCGUUGAGAUCCUAGGGAACACCAGUAGCGAAAGCGGCUCACUGGGUCUUUUCUGACGCUGAUGCACGAAAGCUAGGGGAGCGAAGA